RNAcentral lists this ribosomal RNA (730 nucleotides) under Escherichia coli. RNAcentral's name for it is "partial 23S ribosomal RNA". It matches the Rfam family "Bacterial large subunit ribosomal RNA", at positions 93 to 867 of the family's 2925-position model. The record is from RNAcentral. Lineage: Bacteria; Pseudomonadati; Pseudomonadota; Gammaproteobacteria; Enterobacterales; Enterobacteriaceae.
AACCGUUAUAACCGGCGAUUUCCGAAUGGGGAAACCCAGUGUGAUUCGUCACACUAUCAUUAACUGAAUCCAUAGGUUAAUGAGGCGAACCGGGGGAACUGAAACAUCUAAGUACCCCGAGGAAAAGAAAUCAACCGAGAUUCCCCCAGUAGCGGCGAGCGAACGGGGAGGAGCCCAGAGCCUGAAUCAGUGUGUGUGUUAGUGGAAGCGUCUGGAAAGGCGCGCGAUACAGGGUGACAGCCCCGUACACAAAAAUGCACAUGCUGUGAGCUCGAUGAGUAGGGCGGGACACGUGGUAUCCUGUCUGAAUAUGGGGGGACCAUCCUCCAAGGCUAAAUACUCCUGACUGACCGAUAGUGAACCAGUACCGUGAGGGAAAGGCGAAAAGAACCCCGGCGAGGGGAGUGAAAAAGAACCUGAAACCGUGUACGUACAAGCAGUGGGAGCCUCUUUAUGGGGUGACUGCGUACCUUUUGUAUAAUGGGUCAGCGACUUAUAUUCUGUAGCAAGGUUAACCGAAUAGGGGAGCCGAAGGGAAACCGAGUCUUAACUGGGCGUUAAGUUGCAGGGUAUAGACCCGAAACCCGGUGAUCUAGCCAUGGGCAGGUUGAAGGUUGGGUAACACUAACUGGAGGACCGAACCGACUAAUGUUGAAAAAUUAGCGGAUGACUUGUGGCUGGGGGUGAAAGGCCAAUCAAACCGGGAGAUAGCUGGUUCUCCCCGAAAGCU